RNAcentral lists this ribosomal RNA (399 nucleotides) under uncultured bacterium. Its description in RNAcentral is "bacterial SSU rRNA". It matches the Rfam family "Bacterial small subunit ribosomal RNA", at positions 29 to 458 of the family's 1533-position model. The record is from RNAcentral.
AACGAACGCUGGCGGCAUGCCUAACACAUGCAAGUCGAACGAGACCUUCGGGUCUAGUGGCGCACGGGUGCGUAACACGUGGGAAUUUGCCUCGGGGUAUGGAAUAACUCAGGGAAACUUGAGCUAAUACCAUAUAAUGUCUUCGGACCAAAGAUUUAUCGCCCUGAGAUAAGCCCGCGUAGGAUUAGCUAGUUGGUGGGGUAAAGGCUCACCAAGGCGACGAUCCUUAGCUGGUCUGAGAGGAUGAUCAGCCACACUGGGACUGAGACACGGCCCAGACUCCUACGGGAGGCAGCAGUGGGGAAUAUUGGACAAUGGGCGAAAGCCUGAUCCAGCAAUGCCGCGUGAGUGAUGAAGGCCUCGGUUGUAAGCUCUUUACUUACGGUACGGAGUAAUAGA